UGGAGAGUUUGAUCCUGGCUCAGGACGAACGCUGGCGGCGUGCUUAACACAUGCAAGUCGAACGGAAAGGCCCUUUCGGGGGUGCUCGAGUGGCGAACGGGUGAGUAACACGUGGGUGAUCUGCCCUGCACUUUGGGAUAAGCCUGGGAAACUGGGUCUAAUACCGAAUAGUCCCUGCUGGUCGCAUGGCCUGGUGGGGGAAAGCUUUUGCGGUGUGGGAUGGGCCCGCGGCCUAUCAGCUUGUUGGUGGGGUGAUGGCCUACCAAGGCGACGACGGGUAGCCGGCCUGAGAGGGUGUCCGGCCACACUGGGACUGAGAUACGGCCCAGACUCCUACGGGAGGCAGCAGUGGGGAAUAUUGCACAAUGGGCGCAAGCCUGAUGCAGCGACGCCGCGUGGGGGAUGACGGCCUUCGGGUUGUAAACCUCUUUCAGUACCGACGAAGCGUAAGUGACGGUAGGUACAGAAGAAGCACCGGCCAACUACGUGCCAGCAGCCGCGGUA
This 504-nucleotide ribosomal RNA is filed under the name Mycobacterium sp. N641C. RNAcentral's name for it is "bacterial SSU rRNA". It matches the Rfam family "Bacterial small subunit ribosomal RNA", at positions 1 to 522 of the family's 1533-position model. The record is from RNAcentral. Lineage: Bacteria; Bacillati; Actinomycetota; Actinomycetes; Mycobacteriales; Mycobacteriaceae.